UACGUAGGGGGCAAGCGUUGUCCGGAUUUAUUGGGCGUAAAGAGCGUGUAGGCGGCCAGACAGGUCCGUUGUGAAAACUCGAGGCUCAACCUCGAGGCGCCGAUGGAAACCGUCUGGCUAGAGUCCGGAAGAGGAGAGUGGAAUUCCUGGUGUAGCGGUGAAAUGCGCAGAUAUCAGGAAGAACACCCGUGGCUAAGGCGGCUCUCUAGUACGGUACUGACGCUGAGACGCGAAAGCGUGGGGAGCGAACAGG
Molecule: ribosomal RNA, 253 nt
Filed under: uncultured bacterium
Lineage: Bacteria
Description: partial 16S ribosomal RNA
Rfam family: Bacterial small subunit ribosomal RNA
Source: RNAcentral